AGUGAACGCUGGCGGUAGGCCUAACACAUGCAAGUCGAACGGCAGCACAGUAAGAGCUUGCUCUUACGGGUGGCGAGUGGCGGACGGGUGAGGAAUACAUCGGAAUCUACUUUUUCGUGGGGGAUAACGUAGGGAAACUUACGCUAAUACCGCAUACGACCUACGGGUGAAAGCAGGGGAUCUUCGGACCUUGCGCGAUUGAAUGAGCCGAUGUCGGAUUAGCUAGUUGGCGGGGUAAAGGCCCACCAAGGCGACGAUCCGUAGCUGGUCUGAGAGGAUGAUCAGCCACAUUGGAACUGAGACACGGUCCAGACUCCUACGGGAGGCAGCAGUGGGGAAUAUUGGAUAAUGGGCGCAAGCCUGAUCCAGCCAUACCGCGUGGGUGAAGAAGGCCUUCGGGUUGUAAAGCCCUUUUGUUGGGAAAGAAAAGCAGCAGGUUAAUACCCCGCUGUUCUGACGGUACCCAAAGAAUAAGCACCGGCUAACUUCGUG
This 492-nucleotide ribosomal RNA is filed under the name uncultured bacterium. RNAcentral's name for it is "partial 16S ribosomal RNA". It matches the Rfam family "Bacterial small subunit ribosomal RNA", at positions 29 to 507 of the family's 1533-position model. The record is from RNAcentral.